Molecule: ribosomal RNA, 774 nt
Filed under: Triticum aestivum (bread wheat)
Lineage: Eukaryota; Viridiplantae; Streptophyta; Magnoliopsida; Poales; Poaceae
Description: partial small subunit ribosomal RNA
Source: RNAcentral
AUGGAGCACCUGCAACCACACCCCAUCGCUUUUCAUGCAUCACCUACCCCAUCGAUGCCGCAUCGACCUUCCGCACCUCCCUACCACGCCAAAUGCUUCCGUCGCCGGGGUGAAACGAAAGCGGCAGGGCAACCAUGCCGUGCAUGGAGUCAGGCCCCUUCUGACUGCGGGCGCCAUUCUUCCUCCCGCGUACAGCGGUGCUGUCUCACGGGCCGGCUCGAGGAUGGGUGCCUCCUCCACCCCCUCCAUCGAAUGGGCGAAAUCACAAGACAAGGGCUCGAGGAAGGGCAAGGCUCCGGCGGCUUGACGACGGAUGCCUCCUCCACCCAAUCUGGCGGCCCAUCCAACGUCAAAGCCGAGGUGGAAGAGGAGGAUGACGAAAAUAAUGAUGUAGAAGAGGUUGAGGAGAAGGGUUGCCACCGGUGUUCAACCGGCAAAAAAUAUUGGCAAUUCAUUGAGGACAAGUAUCAUAAGCUCAUGGACGUCACAUCUUCAUGUUCAUUGAAAUCACUCGAAGGCCAUUGGGAUGUGAAAAAAACAAUGUGCCCGUUGGAGUGGUUGCUUGGAGCAAGUGUGGAAUGCAUGGUUCACAUUAAGCAUUCGUUUUCCAACAUUGUUGGAACUUGCUUAAAGGAGGUGAGAAAAUGGAUGUUGAGGGAUCAAGAAGCUCGACGAAAGAAAGGUGCACUGGUUAAAUUGGAAGACGAUGAUGACAGUGAUGAUGCACUAAAGGGAGGACAAAACAAGGGAGAGCUCGAUGAAAGAAAGUUGUAG